Molecule: transfer RNA, 74 nt
Filed under: Bacteroidota bacterium
Lineage: Bacteria; Pseudomonadati; Bacteroidota
Description: Bacteroidetes bacterium (anaerobic digester metagenome) tRNA-Asn
Rfam family: tRNA
About the family: Transfer RNA (tRNA) molecules are approximately 80 nucleotides in length.
Source: RNAcentral
UCCUCCUUAGCUCAGUUGGUUAGAGCACCUGACUGUUAAUCAGGGGGUCGCUGGUUCAAGCCCAGCAGGAGGAG